UGGGGAAUAUUGGACAAUGGGCGCAAGCCUGAUCCAGCAAUGCCGCGUGUGUGAAGAAGGCCUUCGGGUUGUAAAGCACUUUUAUCAGGAGCGAAACGCUGUCGGCUAAUACCCGGCGGAACUGACGGUACCUGAGGAAUAGGCACCGGCUAACUUCGUGCCAGCAGCCGCGGUAAUACGAAGGGUGCAAGCGUUAAUCGGAAUUACUGGGCGUAAAGCGUGCGUAGGCGGUUUCUUAAGUCUGCUGUGAAAUCCCCGGGCUCAACCUGGGAAUGGCAGUGGAUACUGGGAGGCUAGAGUGUGUCAGAGGGUGGUGGAAUUCCCGGUGUAGCGGUGAAAUGCGUAGAGAUCGGGAGGAACAUCAGUGGCGAAGGCGGCCACCUGGGACAACACUGACGCUGAGGCACGAAAGCGUGGGGAGCAAACAGGAUUAGAUACCCUGGUAGUCCACGCCCUAAAACGAUGCGAACUGGAUGUUGGUCUCAACUCGGAGAUCAGUGUCGAAGCUAACGCGUUAAGUUCGCCGCCUGGGGAGUACGGUCGCAAGACUGAAACUCAAAGGAAUUGACGGGGUCAUAGCUGUUUCCUG
This 589-nucleotide ribosomal RNA is filed under the name uncultured bacterium. Its description in RNAcentral is "partial 16S ribosomal RNA". It matches the Rfam family "Bacterial small subunit ribosomal RNA", at positions 355 to 1376 of the family's 1533-position model. The record is from RNAcentral.